CACUCGAAGCAUCGAACAGAUCGUCUUUUCUGAGAGUGCUAAUCAUGAUGAAGGAUCUAGAUGGCUGAUGGAGACAUCUUUCUUUAGAUCAAAUAGACACCUCCAGAUCAAAAGAGAGAUCUUUUCAAGGAAGAGAUGGUGUGGAAGAACAAAAACAAAAUCUUUUUUAUUUUUCUCUCUCAUAAAAUAGAAAUUAGAAAACCCUAGAACCCUGACCUAGAUCUCAUGCCCCA
RNAcentral lists this long non-coding RNA (233 nucleotides) under Elaeis guineensis (African oil palm). Its description in RNAcentral is "long non-coding RNA (EGUI_LNC064793)". Lineage: Eukaryota; Viridiplantae; Streptophyta; Magnoliopsida; Arecales; Arecaceae. The record is from RNAcentral.